RNAcentral lists this ribosomal RNA (465 nucleotides) under uncultured bacterium. RNAcentral's name for it is "partial 16S ribosomal RNA". It matches the Rfam family "Bacterial small subunit ribosomal RNA", at positions 338 to 795 of the family's 1533-position model. The record is from RNAcentral.
CCUACGGGAGGCAGCAGUGGGGAAUAUUGCGCAAUGGGCGAAAGCCUGACGCAGCGACGCCGCGUGAGGGAUGAAGGUCUUCGGAUCGGAAACCUCUGUCAGCAGGGAAGAACGGUCACUGUGCUAAUCAGCAGUGAAUUGACGGGACCUGCAAGGGAAGGACCGGCUAACUCCGUGACAGCAGCCGCGGUAAUACGGAGGGGGCGAGCGUUAAUCGGAAUUAAUGGGCGUAAAGCGCUAGUAGCGGGUAUGGCAAGUCAAGGGUGAAAUACCCGAGCUCAACGUGGGAACGGCAUUUGAAACUGGCAAACUGGAGUGUGUGAGGGGAUAGUGGAAUUCCAGGUGUAGGAGUGAAAUCCGUAGAUAUCUGGAGGAACAUCAGUGGCGAAGGCGACUAUCUGGCACAUAACUGACGCUGAGGAGCGAAAGCGUGGGUAGCAAACAGGAUUAGAUACCCGGGUAGUC